GUGACGCUGGUACCCCAGGGCUUGGACCUGACGCAGGGAGAUAGAGCGGGAGAUACAGAGGAAAAUGAAAGAACAAGAAUGGCCUUGUCAGCUCCUUGGUUCCUACCAGAGAGACACGGCAUCCUUCCCCUACUGCCUUGGGCACAAGGCUCUGGAGUGAAGAGGAAGGAGGCAGGAGGGAGUCAGGGGCACUCACCUCUUACAGCCUGGAAGAUCAUUAGCAAUAGCAGGUGGCAGUUGUGGCGCUGGCACCAAGUCCUCCGGACCCAACUGAGACAGGACUCAUGGCAUCAAGAACUUACAUCACGGCAGUCAUUGUCUCCAUCUUCUUCAUGGUUAUCCUGUCCUGCUCAAGUGCUCCAGGUGAAAGUUGGCCAGAAGACCCCUGUCUCCAGAGGCAGUUUCCAGAUCUCAAAAGACCCAAAGCCUGGGGUUUCUUCAGCGG
RNAcentral lists this long non-coding RNA (445 nucleotides) under Phascolarctos cinereus (koala). RNAcentral's name for it is "lncRNA (ENSPCIG00000033359.1)". Lineage: Eukaryota; Metazoa; Chordata; Mammalia; Diprotodontia; Phascolarctidae. The record is from RNAcentral.